This 1131-nucleotide ribosomal RNA is filed under the name uncultured bacterium. RNAcentral's name for it is "bacterial SSU rRNA". It matches the Rfam family "Bacterial small subunit ribosomal RNA", at positions 382 to 1502 of the family's 1533-position model. The record is from RNAcentral.
CCUGACGCAGCAACGCCGCGUGAGUGAUGAAGGCUCUUGGGUCGUAAAACUCUGUCAGUGGGGAAGAAGUUAUUUAUAGUUAAUAGCUAUAGGUAUCGACGGUACCCACAAAGGAAGCACCGGCUAACUCCGUGCCAGCAGCCGCGGUAAUACGGGGGGUGCAAGCGUUAUUCGGAAUUAUUGGGCGUAAAGCGAGUGCAGGCUGUUUGUUAAGUCAGAUGUGAAAGCCCGGGGCUCAACCCCGGAAGUGCAUUUGAAACUGUCAGACUUGAGUAUGGGAGAGGAAAGUGGAAUUCCUGGUGUAGAGGUGAAAUUCGUAGAUAUCAGGAGGAACACCAGUGGCGAAGGCGACUUUCUGGACCAAUACUGACGCUCAGACUCGAAGGCGUGGGUAGCGAACAGGAUUAGAUACCCUGGUAGUCCACGCAGUAAACGUUGUACACUAAGUGUCACGGGUAUUGACCCCUGUGGUGCUGCAGCUAACGCAUUAAGUGUACCGCCUGGGGAGUACGAUCGCAAGAUUAAAACUCAAAGGAAUUGACGGGGGCCCGCACAAGCGGUGGAGCAUGUGGUUUAAUUCGACGCAACGCGAAGAACCUUACCUGGAUUUGACAUCCUGGGAAUCUUUUCGAAAGAUUUGAGUGCCCUUCGGGGAACCCAGUGACAGGUGCUGCAUGGCUGUCGUCAGCUCGUGUCGUGAGAUGUUCGGUUAAGUCCCGCAACGAGCGCAACCCUCACCCUCUGUUGCUACCGGGUAAUGCCGGGCACUCUGAGGGAACUGCCGCGGAUAACGUGGAGGAAGGUGGGGAUGACGUCAAGUCCUCAUGGCCUUUAUGUCCAGGGCUACACACGUGCUACAAUGGCCGGUACAAAGAGUUGCGAUACCGCGAGGUGGAGCUAAUCUCAAAAAACCGGUCUCAGUUCGGAUUGGAGUCUGCAACUCGACUCCAUGAAGUCGGAAUCGCUAGUAAUCGUGGAUCAGCAUGCCACGGUGAAUACGUUCCCGGGCCUUGUACACACCGCCCGUCACACCACGAAAGUCGGUUGUACCUUAAGUAGCUGAGCUAACCUUCGGGAGGCAGGUUACCAAGGUAUGAUUGGUGAUUGGGGGAAGUCGUAACAAGGUAACCA